This 358-nucleotide ribosomal RNA is filed under the name Salmonella enterica. Its description in RNAcentral is "bacterial SSU rRNA". It matches the Rfam family "Bacterial small subunit ribosomal RNA", at positions 1002 to 1362 of the family's 1533-position model. Lineage: Bacteria; Pseudomonadati; Pseudomonadota; Gammaproteobacteria; Enterobacterales; Enterobacteriaceae. The record is from RNAcentral.
AGAGAUGGAUUGGUGCCUUCGGGAACUGUGAGACAGGUGCUGCAUGGCUGUCGUCAGCUCGUGUUGUGAAAUGUUGGGUUAAGUCCCGCAACGAGCGCAACCCUUAUCCUUUGUUGCCAGCGAUUAGGUCGGGAACUCAAAGGAGACUGCCAGUGAUAAACUGGAGGAAGGUGGGGAUGACGUCAAGUCAUCAUGGCCCUUACGAGUAGGGAUACACACGUGCUACAAUGGCGCAUACAAAGAGAAGCGACCUCGCGAGAGCAAGCGGACCUCAUAAAGUGCGUCGUAGUCCGGAUUGGAGUGUGCAACUCGACUCCAUGAAGUCGGAAUCGCUAGUUUUGKGUWCAGAWRGCCCMCG